UCACUUUUCUUUCCUGGGAGCUAGACAUGCCCUCUUUCUAGAUAAAUAGAUACAGGGCACAGUUGAAGCCCACCAUUGUGUGUGGAACUUGGUUUUUUCAGUGUCACCUUGUGGUCUUGUUGACAAGGUGUGUGGACAGUGAUACAGAAGCAGUCCCCUAGAAUGCCCGUAUUUCAGAGAAGUACAAUUGGGCUUAGCCCCUGGGUGUCUCGUAGUGUCUCAGAGGAGCUGACCUGGGUCUGUGCUGGUGCAACAGGAAGCGGCAGUCACGUCGCUGUGGAAGAGUAUGAAGGCACAGAGCAUGUGUGAAAUAUGUCCCUUUAGCACACACCUCGGCUAGGAUCUCCUCAAUAGGUUUUGUGAUCUUAAGGACAGCUGAUGGGAGACACCAAGAGUGUGGGAGAAAGAAGCCUUGGGAAACAGCCCUGACCCGGUGCUGCUUCUAUGGGCAAGAAUAGGUCAAGCUACCUGCUCUUUCUGAGGAAUGGGCCUCUCUCUUCACUAGAUAGGGCUGUCUGCUUGUCAGAGCUUGUAAGACUCAACCUUCUGGAAAGAAAAGGGAACUUUCCACAGUGAAUGUUAACGUGUGUGUGCAUGCGCACUUGCUCAAGCCUGUGUGUGUGCAUGCGCGUGUUUACUUGGUGGAAUUUUAUUUUUGUAAAAUUCCUUUCCGGUUAUUUAGUAGAAUUCACCUACACCUCCCUGCCUAACGUUGGUUCCACCAUUAUAACCCUAGGCAUAGUGAAUUUGGAACUCCUUUGAGGUUCCUGAACAGGAUCUAGCAUUCUUGAAAGCCGAGAUUGUGGAAGGGUGGGAGACACUGAUUAUGUAUCUGUUUCCUAGUUUACAUCCUGCAGGUUAAAAGGUCUCAUGGCCUCAGCUAGGCUCUGUCCCUCAUGGGGGAGUCCAGUACCACUCCCCUAGGCACCUUGUCACCUGAAUCUUCACCCCGUGAAGGGAAAGCAGGCUUAUUAGCUUGCUCUGUAGCACCCAGCAUGUUCUCCUUCAAGCUCUUCAAGUUUCGGCUUCUGUGCACAGGCUAAGUGUGUGUUGUGUGUUUUGGUGAUGGUACAGGGCUCCUUGAGGAGGCAGCUACACCUGGGGUAGGGUGGGUUUCAUUUAUACCAGAGAUCCCUGGGGCUGCUCACCUGAGCCUGGUCCUCUUGAAGCCUGCUAUUGACAAGCACGUUUCCACCAGCUGUACCCAACACUACAAUGCAUUUUUAAAACUAUAUUUGCAUCUAAGACAAUAAAAUCUUAUUUUUUUUGGAAA
RNAcentral lists this long non-coding RNA (1273 nucleotides) under Rattus norvegicus (Norway rat). Its description in RNAcentral is "long non-coding RNA NONRATT007966". Lineage: Eukaryota; Metazoa; Chordata; Mammalia; Rodentia; Muridae. The record is from RNAcentral.